This 734-nucleotide ribosomal RNA is filed under the name Pleurocordyceps nipponica. RNAcentral's name for it is "eukaryotic LSU rRNA". It matches the Rfam family "Eukaryotic large subunit ribosomal RNA", at positions 115 to 866 of the family's 3401-position model. Lineage: Eukaryota; Fungi; Ascomycota; Sordariomycetes; Hypocreales; Polycephalomycetaceae. The record is from RNAcentral.
UUGAAAUCUGGCCCCCUCCACGGGGGUCCGAGUUGUAAUUUGCAGAGGAUGCUUCUGGCGCGGCGCCUUCCGAGUUCCCUGGAACGGGACGCCACAGAGGGUGAGAGCCCCGUCCGGUCGGACGCCUAGCCUGUGUGAAGCACCUUCGACGAGUCGGGUAGUUUGGGAAUGCUGCCCUAAAUGGGAGGUAUAUGUCUUCUAAAGCUAAAUACCGGCCAGAGACCGAUAGCGCACAAGUAGAGUGAUCGAAAGAUGAAAAGCACUUUGAAAAGAGGGUUAAACAGUACGUGAAAUUGUUGAAAGGGAAGCGCUCAUGACCAGACUUGGGCCCGGGGGAUCACCCGGCGUUCUUUUCGCCGGGGCACUUCGCCGGCUGCCCAGGCCAGCAUCAGUUCGCGGCGGGGGACAAAGGCUUCGGGAACGUGGCUCCCUACGGGGAGUGUUAUAGCCCGCUGCGCAAUGCCCUGCCGCGGACUGAGGUUCGCGCUUCCGCAAGGAUGCUGGCGUAAUGGUCAUCAGCGACCCGUCUUGAAACACGGACCAAGGAGUCGUCUUCGUAUGCGAGUGUUCGGGUGUCAAACCCCUACGCGCAAUGAAAGUGAACGCAGGUGAGAGCUUCGGCGCAUCACCGACCGAUCCUGAUGUUCUCGGAUGGAUUUGAGUAAGAGCAUACGGGGCCGGACCCGAAAGAAGGUGAACUAUGCCUGUAUAGGGUGAAGCCAGAGGAAACUCUG